GAAAUGCGAUAAGUAAUGUGAAUUGCAGAAUUCGGUGAAUCAUCGAAUCUUUGAACGCACAUUGCGCCCGCCAGUAUUCUGGCGGGCAUGCCUGUUCGAGCGUCAUUUCAACCAUCAAGCCCCCGGGCUUGUGUUGGGGACCUGCGGCUGCCCGCAGGCCCUGAAAACCAGUGGCGGGCUCGCUGUCACACCGAGCGUAGUAGCAAUCACCUCGCUCAGGGCGUGCUGCGGGUUCCGGCCGUUAAACAGCCUUACAAAAACCAAGGUUGACCUCGGAUCAGGUAGGAAGACCCGCUGAACUUAAGC
This 306-nucleotide unclassified non-coding RNA is filed under the name plant metagenome. RNAcentral's name for it is "partial contains 5.8S ribosomal RNA, internal transcribed spacer 2, and large subunit ribosomal RNA". The stretch from base 1 to 105 matches the Rfam family "5.8S ribosomal RNA", at positions 50 to 154 of the family's 154-position model. The record is from RNAcentral.